GCGGAGGGAUCAUUACCGAGUUUACAACUCCCAAACCCCAAUGUGAACGUUACCAAACUGUUGCCUCGGCGGGAUUUCUGCCCCGGGCGCGUCGCAGCCCCGGACCAAGGCGCCCGCCGGAGGACCAAUUUACAAACUCUUUUGUAUAUCCCAUCGCGGAUUCUUUACAUUCUGAGCUUUCUCGGCGCUCCUAGCGAGCGUUUCGAAAAUGAAUCAAAACUUUCAACAACGGAUCUCUUGGUUCUGGCAUCGAUGAAGAACGCAGCGAAAUGCGAUAAGUAAUGUGAAUUGCAGAAUUCAGUGAAUCAUCGAAUCUUUGAACGCACAUUGCGCCCGCCAGUAUUCUGGCGGGCAUGCCUGUCCGAGCGUCAUUUCAACCCUCGAACCCCUCCGGGGGGUCGGCGUUGGGGAUCGGCACUUACCUGCCGGCCCCGAAAUACAGUGGCGGUCUCGCCGCAGCCUCUCCUGCGCAGUAGUUUGCACACUCGCACCGGGAGCGCGGCGCGUCCACGGCCGUAAAACAACCCAAACUUCUGAAAUGUUGACCUCGGAUCAGGUAGGAAUACCCGCUGAACUUAAGCAUA
RNAcentral lists this ribosomal RNA (584 nucleotides) under Trichoderma brevicompactum. Its description in RNAcentral is "eukaryotic LSU rRNA". The stretch from base 218 to 371 matches the Rfam family "5.8S ribosomal RNA". The record is from RNAcentral. Lineage: Eukaryota; Fungi; Ascomycota; Sordariomycetes; Hypocreales; Hypocreaceae.